GACGAACGCUGGCGGCGUGCUUAACACAUGCAAGUCGAACGGUGAAGGAAGAGCUUGCUCUUCCGGAUCAGUGGCGAACGGGUGAGUAACACGUGGGCAACCUGCCCCUGACUCUGGGAUAACUCCUCGAAAGAGGUGCUAAUACCGGAUACGACCACUUCGGACAUCCGAUGGUGGUGGAAAGUUUUUCGGUCAGGGAUGGGCCCGCGGCCUAUCAGCUAGUUGGUGGGGUAAUGGCCUACCAAGGCGACGACGGGUAGCCGGCCUGAGAGGGCGACCGGCCACACUGGGACUGAGACACGGCCCAGACUCCUACGGGAGGCAGCAGUGGGGAAUAUUGCGCAAUGGGCGAAAGCCUGACGCAGCGACGCCGCGUGAGGGAUGAAGGCCUUCGGGUUGUAAACCGUCUUUCAGCAGGGACGAAGCGAAAGUGACGGUACCUGCAGAAGAAGCACCGGCUAACUACGUAGCCAGCAGCCGCGGUAAU
RNAcentral lists this ribosomal RNA (487 nucleotides) under uncultured bacterium. Its description in RNAcentral is "bacterial SSU rRNA". It matches the Rfam family "Bacterial small subunit ribosomal RNA", at positions 28 to 524 of the family's 1533-position model. The record is from RNAcentral.